CUAACACAUGCAAGUCGAGCGGUAGAGAGAAGCUUGCUUCUCUUGAGAGCGGCGGACGGGUGAGUAAUGCCUAGGAAUCUGCCUGGUAGUGGGGGAUAACGUUCGGAAACGGACGCUAAUACCGCAUACGUCCUACGGGAGAAAGCAGGGGACCUUCGGGCCUUGCGCUAUCAGAUGAGCCUAGGUCGGAUUAGCUAGUUGGUGAGGUAAUGGCUCACCAAGGCGACGAUCCGUAACUGGUCUGAGAGGAUGAUCAGUCACACUGGAACUGAGACACGGUCCAGACUCCUACGGGAGGCAGCAGUGGGGAAUAUUGGACAAUGGGCGAAAGCCUGAUCCAGCCAUGCCGCGUGUGUGAAGAAGGUCUUCGGAUUGUAAAGCACUUUAAGUUGGGAGGAAGGGCAUUAACCUAAUACGUUAGUGUUUUGACGUUACCGACAGAAUAAGCACCGGCUAACUCUGUGCCAGCAGCCGCGGUAAUACAGAGGGUGCAAGCGUUAAUCGGAAUUACUGGGCGUAAAGCGCGCGUAGGUGGUUUGUUAAGUUGGAUGUGAAAUCCCCGGGCUCAACCUGGGAACUGCAUUCAAAACUGACUGACUAGAGUAUGGUAGAGGGUGGUGGAAUUUCCUGUGUAGCGGUGAAAUGCGUAGAUAUAGGAAGGAACACCAGUGGCGAAGGCGACCACCUGGACUAAUACUGACACUGAGGUGCGAAAGCGUGGGGAGCAAACAGGAUUAGAUACCCUGGUAGUCCACGCCGUAAACGAUGUCAACUAGCCGUUGGGAGCCUUGAGCUCUUAGUGGCGCAGCUAACGCAUUAAGUUGACCGCUGGGGAGUACGGCCGCAAGGUAAACUCAAUGA
This 861-nucleotide ribosomal RNA is filed under the name uncultured Pseudomonas sp. Its description in RNAcentral is "bacterial SSU rRNA". It matches the Rfam family "Bacterial small subunit ribosomal RNA", at positions 48 to 907 of the family's 1533-position model. The record is from RNAcentral. Lineage: Bacteria; Pseudomonadati; Pseudomonadota; Gammaproteobacteria; Pseudomonadales; Pseudomonadaceae.